AGAUAAACGACACUUGUGAAAUGGCAAAGAGUAUUGACAGUUGUGCAUAGUUAAGAACUGGCAAAAAGCACCAAAACUUCUGAGCAUGGUCGACAAUGGCUAUAGCCAAGGGAUGGUCACUGUUCGCCUCGACCGUGGAAACGAGAGCCAGAAAGAAGUUUGGCGGGCAAACAUCAUGGCCAACGAACAUUUCAAUAUGUGUGACAGUCGGUGUUCCUCUUGUAAGGGUUCCAGUUUUAUCAAAUAUGACGGUUGAAAUCUUGAAAAACCCCAAAACACAAUAAUAUCUUGUACAUCUUCUAUGUUCAACAAAAAAACACAAUGAUGGUGCAUGUAAAUACAAAGAAACAUCAAACAUCUAAGCAAUGAAACGUCCACCAAAACGUGCAGAGUUAAAAAGAAUAAAGUUUAUAAAAC
Xenia sp. Carnegie-2017 is the source of this 417-nucleotide long non-coding RNA. RefSeq lists it as uncharacterized. The transcript has 2 exons. The record is from RefSeq and is a predicted model, not a curated record. NCBI's taxonomy places the organism in Eukaryota, Metazoa, Cnidaria, Anthozoa, Malacalcyonacea, Xeniidae.